RNAcentral lists this long non-coding RNA (2774 nucleotides) under Equus caballus (horse). RNAcentral's name for it is "lncRNA (ENSECAG00000051354.1)". The record is from RNAcentral. Lineage: Eukaryota; Metazoa; Chordata; Mammalia; Perissodactyla; Equidae.
GGAAAGAUUUACUCUGAGCUAACAUCUGUUGCCAAUCUCCUCUAUUUUUUUUUCUUCUCCCCAAAGCCCCAGUAAAUAGUUGUAUAUUUUAGUUGCAAGUCCUUCUGGUUCUUCUGUGUGAGACACCAGCACAGCAUGGCUGCUGACAGAUGAGUCUUGUGGUUCCGUGCCCAGGAACCAAAUCCUGGCCACCAAAGAGGAGCACGCUGGACUUUAACUGCCAGGCUAUCAGGACUGGCUCUGACUCAACUUACUUGUAAAAGGUCAUUCUGGCUGCUAUGUUGAAAAUAGACUAGGUCAGAGCAAGGAGGAAGCAAGAGACUAGGUAGGAGGCUAAUGCUAGUAAAACAGAGUGAGAAAGUAGGGGAGUUAUAUUAUAGUUAUAGUUAUAUUAUAACCAGUGGCUGUAUUCUGAAGGUAGAAUGAAUAGGAUUUCCAGAUGGACUGUACAGAAAGAAAGGUAUCCAGGGUGACUCCUGGGUUUUUGACCUGAGCUGCUGGAAGAGUUGGAAGAAUGGAGUUGCCUUUAAGUGAGACCAUUCCCGUGUGUGCGAAGGCUCUGUAGAGUCACUCGGGCUGUGGCUUUCAGGCUGCAAACUGUCUCUAAGACGAGGAGACAGCCGUUGUUCUUGGAUGACCUUCUCAGGGGAGGAAGAGGAGCAUCCUCGAGGAGAGUUCUCAGGGUUUGCUAACAUCAGGACUGAAGGAGAAGGAAGUUUUGUCGAGCUUCAUCUUUGAGAAGAAAGCUAGAAGACAGAGGUCCCAGGGUGUUUUGGUUACUCUGGAGUGAAACAUGGAGGAGAGAACCAUAAAAUAUUUCCAGAGCUCUGUGACUAGUACCAUUGAGUCUCUGUUUUUGUUUCCUGGAGGUAAUUAGCAUUCAAACAACUUGUGUGCUCUGGGUUGCCCAAUAGGCCCCUGGGCAGGGAGAGCGCCAGCCUUGGAGCAAGAUGGUUGAGUGAGUGGUGGCACUUAUCACAGGAGAGAAGAGCGAGCUGGGCCUUGGACGACUCCUGCAGAGAGAAAAAGAGAGCGUGGGCAGCGGGCCGAGAGCGGUUGAGCGAGCGCUGGGCCGAGCAGGAGAAAGGCCCCCGUGAGGUUUCCAGAUGCAGGGCCAUACACUCUCCGAAGCACUUCUUCACUCUUGUAAUUCUCUCCCCACCCUUUGGUUGAGGAACAGGUGAUAUUUUUAGCUCUGUUUUCCUAGUAAGUAAGUUAAUUUUCAGAGAAGAUAAAGUAACCCCAAAGACACAGCUGGAUAGAAGUUGAUCUAGGGCUAGAAGCCAGCUCUCCCAACCUAUGGAUCAGGGUUCCUCACUGUCCCCCAAUGCCACUGGAACCUGAAAUGGCACAGCCUGGUCUGGAGGACAUUGAGGAGCAUAAAUUAGGCAGAGGAAGGAGUGUGGGUAUGGGGAGUGUUCCAGGCGGAAGGAACAGCACUUCAAGGCCUUGAGGAAGGAGCGAGAGUGGUGCUUCCUGAGAACCAAAACAGGCCAGGAAGGCUGGGCCACGGAAAGCAACGUGGGGGCUGGUGUGAGGUGGGACUGGAUUAUGAAGAGCUCUGAGAGCUCACUUGCCACUUCUUCAGCGGGACCUGCCUACCUCCAGCAGCAGAUUCCUUCCUAAAGAGCGUCAGCACACUCUCUCCCGUGGACUUCCGCUGUACCCAAUGGCACUGACCUUUGAGCCACUGGUGGCAGUGUGGGGGGAGGCACGGGAUUAACGUAAGUACAUAAAUCCAUUUGCACACCAAUCUUAGUCUGAAAAAUAAUAUGUUCUGCACUUUUAUUGCUACUAUUUUCCAAAUGAAUAUAGAUGUCAUUGUGAUGAAUAAAACUCAAGUUCAUUUCACAGUACUCCUAAAUUCCUAGGAGCUUCUGGCUAUCGUGUGUAACCCCUGUGUCUCUGGCCUCAUCAGCCUGCGACAACAAAUACAGCUGCAAUUCCUUUUGCUCUACAAAUGCUUGAAAGCUGCCCCGUCAGUGCGGCUUCCUCCUGCCUGGCCUCUCAUCUUAUCUCCACACUGUUGUCCCUGCUCUGCCUCCCUCACGGUUCACUGCUCUUCUGAGCCCAUCUUUGUUCAUUCCCACCUUCCAUGACCCUCCCACUACCUUGGUGCAUUCCCACUGCUCAUGUCUCCCCUGUUAUCGUUGUUCCUUCCCACUGGUCAUGCCGACACUGCUACUGCUGGACGCAGAGAUUCAGAGGUUUGCUUUCUACUUCUGUUGGAAGUCAGGCAUGACCUCCUGGGAUUGGAGGGUGCCCUGUCACUUCCCUGAGUCUGACCUCCCCUCCAGCCAUCACCUCCUGCACUUCUGCAUCCACAGCUGCAGCUGACAGAAUUAGUGCCAGCACAGAUGCUUGUGGAAAGCAAGGGCUUGCUCUUACUACCUCUUCCAGCCACCCCCCUGGUACAAUCGCUCUCAGCAAUGGAACUUCUGAGUGUCUCCACAUGUAGGGAUUCCCUUCCAACUGGCCCCGCAGAAAGAGAGGAAGCCUUUUGUUCCUGUAGUCCAGGCAUCAGCAAGCUAUGACUCAGGGGCCACAUCCAUUGUCCAUCUGUUUUCCUAAAUAAAAUUUUACUGGAACACAGCCACACUCAUUAUUUACAUAUUGUCCAUGACUGCUUUUGCACCACAGUGGCAGAGCUGAAAAGUUGUGAAAUAGGCAGUAUGGCCUGCAAAACUGAAAAUAUUUACUAUCUGGAUCUUUACAGAAAAAGUUUGUCAACUCUUCAUCUAGUCCUUAGGCCUGCCGCAUUUCCUGCCUGGAGA